GGGGCCGUAGCUCAGCUGGGAGAGCGCUAGAUUUGCAUUCUAGAGGUCAGGGGUUCGAUCCCCCUCGGCUCCA
This 73-nucleotide transfer RNA is filed under the name Candidatus Margulisiibacteriota bacterium. RNAcentral's name for it is "tRNA-Ala". It matches the Rfam family "tRNA". From Rfam's summary of the family: Transfer RNA (tRNA) molecules are approximately 80 nucleotides in length. Their secondary structure includes four short double-helical elements and three loops (D, anti-codon, and T loops). Further hydrogen bonds mediate the characteristic L-shaped molecular structure. tRNAs have two regions of fundamental functional importance: the anti-codon, which is responsible for specific mRNA codon recognition, and the 3' end, to which the tRNAs corresponding amino acid is attached (by aminoacyl-tRNA synthetases). tRNAs cope with the degeneracy of the genetic code in two manners: having more than one tRNA (with a specific anti-codon) for a particular amino acid; and 'wobble' base-pairing, i.e. permitting non-standard base-pairing at the 3rd anti-codon position. The record is from RNAcentral. Lineage: Bacteria; Bacillati; Candidatus Margulisiibacteriota.